AUACGGAGGGUGCAAGCGUUAUUCGGAAUCACUGGGCGUAAAGGACGCGUAGGCGGGUUUGUAAGUCAGGUGUGAAAUCCUACAGCUUAACUGUAGAACUGCACUUGAAACUACAGACCUAGAGUAUGGGAGGGGCAGAUGGAAUUAGUGGUGUAGGGGUAAAAUCCGUAGAUAUCACUAGGAAUACCGAAAGCGAAGGCGAUCUGCUGGAACAUAACUGACGCUAAGGCGUGAAAGCGUGGGGAGCAAACAGAAUUAGAAACCCUAGUAGUCC
This 274-nucleotide ribosomal RNA is filed under the name uncultured bacterium. RNAcentral describes it as "partial 16S ribosomal RNA". It matches the Rfam family "Bacterial small subunit ribosomal RNA", at positions 523 to 796 of the family's 1533-position model. The record is from RNAcentral.